GGGCUGUUAGCUCAGUUGGCUAGAGCACCUGCUUUGCAAGCAGGGGGUCGUCGGUUCGAAUCCGACACGGUCCACCA
RNAcentral lists this transfer RNA (77 nucleotides) under Candidatus Magasanikiibacteriota bacterium. RNAcentral's name for it is "tRNA-Ala". It matches the Rfam family "tRNA". From Rfam's summary of the family: Transfer RNA (tRNA) molecules are approximately 80 nucleotides in length. Their secondary structure includes four short double-helical elements and three loops (D, anti-codon, and T loops). The record is from RNAcentral. Lineage: Bacteria; Candidatus Magasanikiibacteriota. RNAcentral also lists the same sequence under 2 other names.